GCAAGUCGAACGAGGUAGCAAUACCUAGUGGCGCACGGGUGGGUAACGCGUGGAUAAUCUGCCCUUCACUGGGGAAUAACUAAUCGAAAGGUUAGCUAAUACCGCAUGAGGCCACAGUUUCUGAGGAAGCAGUGGUUAAAGAUUUAUUGGUGAAGGAUGAGUCUGCGUGGGAUUAGCUAGUUGGUGAGGUAAUGGCUCACCAAGGCUACGAUCUCUAACAGGUCUGAGAGGAUGACCUGUCACACUGGAACUGAGACACGGUCCAGACUCCUACGGGAGGCAGCAGUAGGGAAUAUUGCGCAAUGGACGAAAGUCUGACGCAGCGACGCCGCGUGAGUGAUGAAGGCCUUAGGGUCGUAAAGCUCUGUUGCAGGGGAAGAAAAAAAUGACGGUACCCUGCGAGAAAGGAUCGGCUAACUUCGUGCCAGCAGCCGCGGUAAGACGAGGGAUCCUAGCGUUGUUCGGAAUCAUUGGGCGUAAAGCGCAUGUAGGCUGCCAUUCAAGUCAGUUGUGAAAGCCCCGGGCUCAACCCGGGAAGUGCUUCUGAUACUGUUUGGCUUGAGUACUAGAGAGGAUAGUAGAAUUCCAGGUGUAGUGGUGAAAUACGUAGAUAUCUGGAGGAAUACCGGUG
This 631-nucleotide ribosomal RNA is filed under the name uncultured bacterium. Its description in RNAcentral is "bacterial SSU rRNA". It matches the Rfam family "Bacterial small subunit ribosomal RNA", at positions 57 to 714 of the family's 1533-position model. The record is from RNAcentral.